RNAcentral lists this long non-coding RNA (254 nucleotides) under Zostera marina. RNAcentral describes it as "long non-coding RNA (ZMAR_LNC004056)". Lineage: Eukaryota; Viridiplantae; Streptophyta; Magnoliopsida; Alismatales; Zosteraceae. The record is from RNAcentral.
UGCCAUCUGAGGAAGACCCGAGUCGUCCUGCACCGGACCGCGUCAGUGGCGUACGCGAGCCGUCGAACCGGGAGGGGAAACGACCGACGUGGAUGAAGGAUUACCAGGUCAAUUUCAAGGGUGGCUAAGCCAAUCUGGUCGAACCCAGGAGUUAUGGGGAAUUUUGCAAAAAAACUCUUUUUAUUUUAAGUAUUUACAUUUAAGUCCUGUUACAUUAAAAGACUAUCGUGAAUCUUUGUUCGGCAUCGAUUUUU